RNAcentral lists this ribosomal RNA (162 nucleotides) under uncultured bacterium. Its description in RNAcentral is "partial 16S ribosomal RNA". It matches the Rfam family "Bacterial small subunit ribosomal RNA", at positions 355 to 509 of the family's 1533-position model. The record is from RNAcentral.
UGGGGAAUUUUGGACAAUGGGCGAAAGCCUGAUCCAGCAAUGCCGCGUGCAGGAUGAAGGCCCUCGGGUUGUAAACUGCUUUUGUACGGAACGAAAAGCCUGGGGCUAAUAUCCCCGGGUCAUGACGGUACCGUAAGAAUAAGCACCGGCUAACUACGUGCC